This 92-nucleotide transfer RNA is filed under the name Planctomycetaceae bacterium. RNAcentral describes it as "tRNA-Phe". It matches the Rfam family "tRNA", at positions 9 to 71 of the family's 71-position model. From Rfam's summary of the family: Transfer RNA (tRNA) molecules are approximately 80 nucleotides in length. Their secondary structure includes four short double-helical elements and three loops (D, anti-codon, and T loops). Further hydrogen bonds mediate the characteristic L-shaped molecular structure. tRNAs have two regions of fundamental functional importance: the anti-codon, which is responsible for specific mRNA codon recognition, and the 3' end, to which the tRNAs corresponding amino acid is attached (by aminoacyl-tRNA synthetases). tRNAs cope with the degeneracy of the genetic code in two manners: having more than one tRNA (with a specific anti-codon) for a particular amino acid; and 'wobble' base-pairing, i.e. permitting non-standard base-pairing at the 3rd anti-codon position. Lineage: Bacteria; Pseudomonadati; Planctomycetota; Planctomycetia; Planctomycetales; Planctomycetaceae. The record is from RNAcentral.
GGGAGUGCAUUCUAUCACCCGUGUAUUUGCGUUCAAGUACCUGCACAGGACUGAAAAUCCUGGUGUCGGGGGUUCGAUUCCCCCUCUGCCCA